Camponotus floridanus (Florida carpenter ant) is the source of this 364-nucleotide long non-coding RNA. RefSeq lists it as uncharacterized. The record is from RefSeq and is a predicted model, not a curated record. Lineage: Eukaryota; Metazoa; Arthropoda; Insecta; Hymenoptera; Formicidae. The transcript is spliced from 2 exons.
UCGAAGGCAUAAGACCACUCUCAAGCUUCUCUCUCGUACAAGCACCUAUGCAAAAUGUCCGUUUUCAUGCUGUAUUUUGGUUCUGUGACAGGAACUAGCCGCCUACGCACGUGCGUAAUUUAUACGAGGACAUAGAACUGUGUUUGUGUAAUUUUGUAAUCAGAGGAACUGUCAGAAACAGUGGAUAACGAUGCAGAAAAUCCAAUUUGAUGGAGUACAUGAGAUAUACUACGAAGCAUUGAUAUACUCAUACUUGUAAAAGAGGAUCUAAUGAUCAUGCGAAGGAUGCCUUCUGAAAUUUUUCUAGGAAAUGGAGGAACUCUACAUCGUUCCUUGAUGUUUAUACUGAAACUCGGCUGGCAGU